AUUGAACGCUGGCGGCAUGCCUUACACAUGCAAGUCGAACGGCAGCACGGGGGCAACCCUGGUGGCGAGUGGCGAACGGGUGAGUAACAUAUCGGAACAUACCCUAGAGUGGGGGAUAACGUAGCGAAAGUUACGCUAAUACCGCAUACGAUCUAAGGAUGAAAGUGGGGGAUCUUCGGACCUCAUGCUCAUGGAGUGGCCGAUAUCUGAUUAGCUAGUUGGUGAGGUAAAGGCUCACCAAGGCGACGAUCAGUAGCUGGUUUGAGAGAACGACCAGCCACACUGGAACUGAGACACGGUCCAGACUCCUACGGAGGCAGCAGUGGGGAAUUUUUGGGACAAUGGGGGCAACCCUGAUCCAGCAAUGCCGCGUGAGUGAAGAAGGCCU
This 388-nucleotide ribosomal RNA is filed under the name uncultured bacterium. Its description in RNAcentral is "bacterial SSU rRNA". It matches the Rfam family "Bacterial small subunit ribosomal RNA", at positions 30 to 417 of the family's 1533-position model. The record is from RNAcentral.